AUACGGAGGGUGCAAGCGUUACUGGGAAUCACUGGGCGUAAAGCGCGCGCAGGCGGGCUGAUAAGUUGGAUGUGAAAGCCUACGGCUCAACCGUAGAACUGCAUCCAAAACUAUUAGACUAGAGUGUGGGAGAGGAAGAUGGAAUUAGUUGUGUAGGGGUAAAAUCCGUAGAGAUAACUAGGAAUACCAAAAGCGAAGGCAAUCUUCUGGAACACUACUGACGCUGAGGCGCGAAAGCGUGGGGAGCAAACAGGAUUAGAUACCCCAGUAGUCC
RNAcentral lists this ribosomal RNA (274 nucleotides) under uncultured bacterium. RNAcentral's name for it is "partial 16S ribosomal RNA". It matches the Rfam family "Bacterial small subunit ribosomal RNA", at positions 523 to 796 of the family's 1533-position model. The record is from RNAcentral.